AUUGAACGCUGGCGGCAUGCCUUACACAUGCAAGUCGAACGGUAACGGGCCUUCGGGUGCCGACGAGUGGCGAACGGGUGAGUAAUGUAUCGGAACGUACCUUUCAGUGGGGGAUAACGUAGCGAAAGUUACGCUAAUACCGCAUAUUCUGUGCGCGGGAAAGCAGGGGAUCGCAAGACCUUGCGCUGAUUGAGCGGCCGAUAUCAGAUUAGCUAGUUGGUGAGGUAAAGGCUCACCAAGGCGACGAUCUGUAGCGGGUCUGAGAGGAUGAUCCGCCACACUGGAACUGAGACACGGUCCAGACUCCUACGGGAGGCAGCAGUGGGGAAUUUUGGACAAUGGGGGCAACCCUGAUCCAGCCAUGCCGCGUGAGUGAAGAAGGCCUUCGGGUUGUAAAGCUCUUUCGGCCGGGAAGAAAUCGUAUGGGUUAAUACCCUGUGCGGAUGACGGUACCGGCAUAAGAAGCACCGGCUAACUACGUG
Molecule: ribosomal RNA, 482 nt
Filed under: uncultured bacterium
Lineage: Bacteria
Description: bacterial SSU rRNA
Rfam family: Bacterial small subunit ribosomal RNA
Source: RNAcentral